This 562-nucleotide ribosomal RNA is filed under the name uncultured bacterium. RNAcentral describes it as "bacterial SSU rRNA". It matches the Rfam family "Bacterial small subunit ribosomal RNA", at positions 359 to 917 of the family's 1533-position model. The record is from RNAcentral.
GGAUUGAAAUGGGCGCAGCCUGAUCCAGCAAUCCCCCGCGUGUGNGAAGAAGGCCUUCGGGUUGNCAAGCACUUUUGUCCGGGAAGAAAUCCCUGGUCCUAAUAUGGCCGGGGGAUGACGGUACUGGAAGAAUAAGCACCGGCUAACUACGUGCCAGCAGCCGCGGUAAUACGUAGGGUGCGAGCGUUAAUCGGAAUUACUGGGCGUAAAGCGUGCGCAGGCGGUGAUGUAAGACCGAUGUGAAAUCCCCGGGCUUAACCUGGGAACUGCAUUGGUGACUGCAUCGCUCGAGUAUGGCAGAGGGGGGUAGAAUUCCACGUGUAGCAGUGAAAUGCGUAGAGAUGUGGAGGAAUACCGAUGGCGAAGGCAGCCCCCUGGGUCAAUACUGACGCUCAUGCACGAAAGCGUGGGGAGCAAACAGGAUUAGAUACCCUGGUAGUCCACGCCCUAAACGAUGUCAACUGGUUGCCGGGCCUUCAUUGGCUUGGUAACGUAGCUAACGCGUGAAGUUGACCGCCUGGGGAGUACGGUCGCAAGAUUAAAACUCAAAGGAAUUGACGGA